CCCUCAAAACCCUAAUAAAAAUACUCUGUGCGCCGCGGCCCGCGGCAGCCGCGAUUCCGCCCACCAGGCCUCGACCACAACCACCAGCACCGUGCGCCCUCUCUCAGCACCAGCAAGCUGCUAGCUUCUCCGAGGGGACGGAUUUGGCGCCGGAUGGGCGUCGUCGGAGCCGACGAGGAAGUGUGGCCUCUCCGCCUCUGGCCUUGACAUGGACCACGGCCACGAUUGUGAAGCUCAUGAGGUCAGCGCAUCACGCCCUCGCGGGCCCAGAGAUGCAAAUGCGGCCCUGAAUCACGCGGCCCUUUGGCCGGAAGGAUACGGAGGAUGCGCGGGGAAGCCAGGUCGGAGCCGCGUUGGAGUUUCCGUGCCUGACUGCACGGCGGCGAGGAUUAUAGACGGUGUGAUAAGAAGAUUUUAUGAUCAAGAUCCUUAGAGCAGGGCAGGGCAAAGAUUGAAGAUCUUGUGCAAGGAUAAAGGACACUCUUUUUCCAGUGAUGGAUCGAUGCACAAGAUCGCUUGUGUCUAAGGUGGCUUUACUACUGUUGUUCGAAAAAAGGCUCGUGUGGUUUGGCUUUCUUUCCAUACUUCUGUCUCUUCGCUAAUUUGUGCUGACAGGUGAUAUUUAGUUAUUUCUUCAGGCCAUGGUCUAAUAGAUAUCUGUGUGGUGGAUGAAGAUUGAAGAAAUAUUUACCUAGGCAUCCAUCCGCGGUGUACGGGUUCCCAUAGUACCCUGCAUUGCAGUUGCAGAGAUAGCCUGCUCGGGUUCCCAUAGUACCCUGCAUUGCAGUUGCAGAGAUAGCCUGCUCCACUGACUGCGUCGAUGCAUUCGCUCUUA
Molecule: long non-coding RNA, 835 nt
Organism: Brachypodium distachyon (stiff brome)
Lineage: Eukaryota; Viridiplantae; Streptophyta; Magnoliopsida; Poales; Poaceae
Exons: 3
Source: RefSeq, a predicted model, not a curated record